Molecule: long non-coding RNA, 1096 nt
Organism: Corvus hawaiiensis (hawaiian crow)
Lineage: Eukaryota; Metazoa; Chordata; Aves; Passeriformes; Corvidae
Exons: 4
Source: RefSeq, a predicted model, not a curated record
UCACAGCAUGUUUUUUAUUCUUGCUAAUUCCUGCAACCUAACCCAAAUUAGUUCCACAGAAAAAUUUAGGUAACCUAAUGUCUCAGUAGAUGCCAGUGUCAACAAGUUCUCAGUGCUGAGCCCCUGUGCAUCUGUUGGGUUCACAAAUGAUGAUCCUUGGCUGCCUUUCCCAUGACAUUUGGCCCACCAGAUGACUAACAUGGCUAACUUAGGACACCCUGGAACAGAGAGAAUCCAUCUCAAACUUACUUGGCAAUGAACACAUAGUGGAACAGGCUCAAUGAGAGUGAUGAGGAAAGAGAUGUCCUCAAAUAGCCCAGACUUACAUUCUGGAAGGUGAGGGACUUACCUGCAAUUUUCUGCUCCAGAGCAGAGAAGGGUAACCCAGCCAAGUUCUGCUACAGCUCGUGUCACUGUUGACAUCUCCAGCACCAAUUAGUGUGAGGUUAGAGCAGAAGAAGGAAGAAGAACUUGCACUUCUGUGUUUGAUAGUGUGUCAAGACACCAAAAAGCAUCUUUAUGGACUGCUCUCUACUCUGUGGGUUCCUUAUACCAGUGUGUCUGAUGUCAGAGUGCUGUCAGUGUUUUGAGUGCUGCAGGGAGAUCUGAAUAAAGCUCCUACAAGAAGGUACUUUCUCAGGUGUUUGGUUUGCUUGCAGAGCAGCUGGAACUGCACUACAUUUUCCAGCAUGGAUGAGAAACUGGUGUGGGUGUGCACAGCAAAACAGCCUUUGGAAUUUCUGAACAAACAUCUCACACAUGUGGGCACUUUCAAUUUGCAGGGAACUUAACGUUUUGGCUUCCUGAAGAGCGAACUUUUCCUUUAUAAUCAGCUUUUCAAAACGUGACAAGUCAUUCCCUGUGCAAGUUUCUGUUUCAGUUUUCACUUCCGUCGCGUUCCACUGAGGGAAGCUGUAAGGAGUUCUUUCAAAAAUGGAUGGUCAGGAACGAAAUGAGGCCAAACGAGACAAACAUUGUAUCUGAGAACCGUUUAUUGGUAAUGAAAAAAUAAAAAUAAAAAGGAGUUACCCUACUAAAGACGGCUGGAAAGGACAGAAGAGAAGGAAAGAGAACGGAAAAGGAAUAGGGGGCGGGG